GAUGAACGCUGGCGGCGUGCUUAACACAUGCAAGUCGAACGGGAAACCUUUUAUUGAAGCUUCGGCAGAUUUCGCUGGUUUCUAGUGGCGGACGGGUGAGUAACGCGUGGGUAACCUGCCUUAUACAGGGGGAUAACAGUCAGAAAUGGCUGCUAAUACCGCAUAAGCGCACAGAGCUGCAUGGCUCAGUGUGAAAAACUCCGGUGGUAUAAGAUGGACCCGCGUUGGAUUAGCUGGUUGGUGGGGUAACGGCCCACCAAGGCGACGAUCCAUAGCCGGCCUGAGAGGGUGAACGGCCACAUUGGGACUGAGACACGGCCCAGACUCCUACGGGAAGCAGCAGUGGGGAAUAUUGCACAAUGGGGGAAACCCUGAUGCAGCGACGCCGCGUGAAGGAAGAAGUAUCUCGGUAUGUAAACUUCUAUCAGCAGGGAAGAUAAUGACGGUACCUGACUAAGAAGCCCCGGCUAACUACGUG
This 478-nucleotide ribosomal RNA is filed under the name uncultured bacterium. RNAcentral's name for it is "partial 16S ribosomal RNA". It matches the Rfam family "Bacterial small subunit ribosomal RNA", at positions 28 to 507 of the family's 1533-position model. The record is from RNAcentral.